UGGAAACAUUUCUAAGCUCGAUAUGUUUUCAUUUUUCCUUAACCCAUCAAACUUCACUUUAAUGAGUUAACUUGUUCCUUAAGUUAAUUGGAAUUAUCCAACAUCCAAAGUUCAAAGGAAUCUUUGAUGUUUUCAAAGAUGUGAUAUUCGACAUUGUGGUUUGGAAGAAUCUUAGGAACACUGCCCAGGCCAUGCUUAGGGGUUACAAAAGUUUCCAGUGAGAGCCACGAGAAGUAAACAAACUCACGAACGGGCUUGUGGUAACAAGCGAAUUGGGCUUUAUAUUUUCUUUUUCUUUUCGCUUUUUCUUUCAUACAUUCUUGUUGAACAUUUGAUAUAUCACUCCGUUCAUAAUAUUACAUAUUUUAAAACUUUUCAAGCGUAUUAAUAAAACAUAUUAAAUUUCAUUUAUAUAUACAUAAUUUUAUGUGAUUAUCUUUUUCUAUAAUUUUAAGCCAAUAAAAAUCCAAUAAGUACAAUUAAGUUUUUUUGAAAUUUGCAAUUAGUUGAUGAAAUAUGUAUUGAAAAUUUAAAAAAUAAAUCUUUUUGAAACUAUUUUUUUUUCUAAAACAUGUAACCUUAUGAAAUGGAGAGAGUAUAUCUGAAUGCUUGUAUACACUGGAAUCUAAGCAGGAAAUUAAAUACAAAAAGCAGUGUUUCAACUUUCAAGAUAUAUACGUAAAGUAAUGGUUACGAAUGAUUGAUUAUCUCAUCUAACCAUUGGUAUAAUCUACACACAUGCUACCAAAUAUUGCACUUAUAAAAUUUGUUAUGUAUAUGUUCAUGGAAACAUUAAUGUAUUAAUAUACAUCACUUAUCAUUUCUGUUUGUUAAAGCACUUUAUUUUACACCUGACGGCAUCACGUGAACCAACGUAGAAUCGUCCGUUGUAUUUUUCAGAGUUUGUAAUAUCGUAAUAUAUCCAGCAUUAAAAAAAAAGCAAUUUGUUUUAUUUUAAUAGAGCAAAAAAUACUUGUAUGGUGACUGAAGUUGGCUGGCUGAGAACGACGAUUCUUCGUAUGUUUACAUUGCUAACUUACUUUUACCAAGUUUUAAGGUAAUUUGCUAAGUUUAGUUGAAGGAAUAAACUCCAAAAACCAAAUACAAAUAAAAUACAUAACAUUUGAAAGAAAUAUGGAGAAAAUACUACCACUUUUUUAUAUGAUCAAACAAUUUAUCUUUUACAUGUUUUAACUAUUAAACUAAAAUUUUAUAAACCAAACACGUAAAUGUAAUCGUGUUUAUAUAAAAAUAUGCGAAUAUACUGAUUUCAC
This 1274-nucleotide long non-coding RNA is filed under the name Brassica napus (rape). RNAcentral's name for it is "long non-coding RNA (BNAP_LNC012228)". Lineage: Eukaryota; Viridiplantae; Streptophyta; Magnoliopsida; Brassicales; Brassicaceae. The record is from RNAcentral.